Molecule: ribosomal RNA, 544 nt
Filed under: uncultured bacterium
Lineage: Bacteria
Description: bacterial SSU rRNA
Rfam family: Bacterial small subunit ribosomal RNA
Source: RNAcentral
CCUGAACGCUGGCGGCGUGGCUAAGACAUGCAAGUCGUACGGGUGUAGCAAUACACCAGUGGCGCACGGGUGAGUAAUGUAUCGCUAACGUACCCCGAAGUCUGGGAUAGCUGAGGGAAACUUCAGGUAAUACCAGAUGACAUCACUGAGAAGCAUUUCUCGGUGCUCAAAGUAGCAAUACGCUUUGGGAGCGGGUGAUAUCGUAUCAGCUUGUUGGUGAGGUAACGGCUCACCAAGGCGACGACGCGUAGCUGGUCUGAGAGGACGGCCAGCCACAUUGGGACUGAGACACUGCCCAGACUCCUACGGGGGGCUGCAGUAACGAAUCUUCCGCAAUGCACGAAAGUGUGACGGAGCGACGCCGCGUGUGGGACGAAGUUCUUCGGAAUGUAAACCACUGUCAGGGGUUAGAAAGUUCUGAUCAACCCCAGAGGAAGGCACGGCUAACUCUGUGCCAGCAGCCGCGGUAAGACAGAGGUGCCGAGCGUUAAGCGGAAUCACUGGGCUUAAAGCGUGUGUAGGCGGACGGGUAAGUACCUUGUGA